AUUUUUUUGUAGUGUAACUUUUUUCGCACUGAAAUACAAACCGAAUGUCGGGUUGAUAAUGCUUCCCUGUUAAUAUGUUGUAUCAGAUUACCUCCUACAUCGGGGCAAAAUCGGCGAUCAACAGGCAAAGACCCCACAAGAAGUAACAUCUUUUUGGCAUGGAUGAGGAAGGGUACCACACACCCAUCUGGAGAUAUUUACACCCCUUCUCUCUCAGGAAUGAUCUGGACAUAUGUUAAUAGGAGUACAGCAUUUUGAAACACUUUGAUUACAAUAUAGAGAUUAAUAACAGAGGGGGAUCUGAGAAUGCAGGGAUUCCAGCAGGGUGUGAAUUGAAGUAGUCAAAUCUGGAGCUGAGAAGGGCUUGAAUGUAAAUGACGUGAUCAUCUCGGAUUAUCUAAUAUCUGAGAAAGGGCAG
Long non-coding RNA from Oncorhynchus tshawytscha (Chinook salmon), 418 nucleotides. NCBI's taxonomy places the organism in Eukaryota, Metazoa, Chordata, Actinopteri, Salmoniformes, Salmonidae. The record is from Ensembl.